Xyrichtys novacula (pearly razorfish) is the source of this 433-nucleotide non-coding RNA. NCBI's taxonomy places the organism in Eukaryota, Metazoa, Chordata, Actinopteri, Labriformes, Labridae. The record is from the annotation of a GenBank genome assembly.
GUUUGUCUGUUAGCAACUUUACGGAGAAAGUAACAGACAGAUUGACCUGAAAUUUUCACCAGAGGUGCGUCUCAGCCCCAGGAGGAUCCCAUUACAUUUUGGUGGUGAUCCGGACAAAAUUCUGGGAACUGUGAUACAGAACACACAAAAAUAAGGGUGUUGUUGGAAUUUUCAAUGCUGAAAGAUAACCAAUGGGCGGCACAGUGGUGUAGAUAGGCGGUACAGUGGUGUAGUGGUUAGCACUGUCGCCUCACAGCAAGAAGGUCCUGGGUUUGAAUCCUGGUCAGGGCAUUUCUUCUUUUAGGAACAUUAUGAACAGUGAACAUACCAGUUUAAACACAAAUAAAAGUUAAUAAAAGACACGUAACAGUAAAAGUUUUGCUGUGAAUCACAAUAUAAGGGGGGACAUGAGCUGCUUGGCGGAGGUCUGCGC